Punica granatum (pomegranate) is the source of this 2810-nucleotide non-coding RNA. The record is from RefSeq and is a predicted model, not a curated record. Lineage: Eukaryota; Viridiplantae; Streptophyta; Magnoliopsida; Myrtales; Lythraceae.
UCAGUUUGUCAUCUACGACCACAGUUCCUUAGCUCUAUAUGUACCCCAGUUAACGGCGGCCACCGUCAGCACCUCCGGCGACGGCGACUCUCCGGUCAAUCUGAACUCCAUAUAUACGCAGGCCUGUAAUCUUGCUGAUCUCUCUCUCUCUCCCUCUCUCUGUCUCUGUCUCUCUCAACUGGACAAUCAGAAUCAAUUCUCGUUCUCUCCAGCAACGGAGGGUUUCACCGGGAGUCUGCUUGAAGCUGAGUGAACUUGGAAGGAUUUUCACUCACCCGCUCAUUCCUCUGAAGCUUCUGGCUGCUUCAAGAAAAUGUUGUUAUUCUAUCGAGGGGAGGACCUGUCCUCCUUGGUCUUGCUAAGCUAACCUGAAUGUAUUGCCUUCUGAAGAUUUGGUGGUCUCUGGGUUCAGAUUGUUUCUGGACGAAACUGCUCUCGUUUCACUUGCUCAAUGUGGAAAAUUCCUUAAAGUGGCUCCUCUCAGAUCACCCCUCCGCCCUAUUAUCCUAUGGAAGAUCAAUCUUUAGCAGCCAUCAAUGCCGAGCAGCACUCUUUUCAUGUUGCAACUACUGAUCCUCCUAUUGUUGUUUCCGAUUCGGCUCUGUCAAACUAUUCUCUAGCUAUUGGCCAGGAAUUUCCCGAUGUUGAGACUUGCAGGAGGAUAUUAAAAGACACUGCCAUUGCACUUCAUUUCGAUCUCCGAAUAGUAAAGUCAGAUCGGAGCCGUUUUAUAGCCAAGUGCUCCAAAGAAGGCUGUCCAUGGCGUAUUCACGUGGCCAAAUGCCCUGGAGUUCCCACUUUUUCUAUAAGAACCCUACAAGGGGAGCACACUUGUGAAGGAGUUCGCAACCACCACCAUCAACAAGCCUCAGUGGGUUGGGUUGCAAGAUCUGUGGAAGCACGAAUCCGUGAUAACCCACAGUUGAAGCCCAAGGAAAUUCUGCACGAUAUUCAAGAGGAGCAUGGAGUCGUUGUCUCCUACAUGCAGGCUUGGCGUGGGAAAGAAAGGAGCAUGGCGGCACUUCAUGGGACCUUUGACGAAGGUUACCGCCUCCUUCCUGCUUACUGUGAACAAAUAAGGAAAAGUAACCCCGGAAGCAUUGCCUCGGUUUUUGCUACUGGACCAGAAAACUGUUUUCAGCGGCUAUUUAUUUCAUAUCGUGCAUCAAUAUACGGGUUCAUAAAUUCCUGCAGGCCACUUUUGGAGAUCGAUAGAGCACAUCUGAAAGGCAAGUAUUUGGGUACACUGCUCUGUGCUGCAGCUGUUGAUGCUGAUGAUUCUUUGUUUCCACUUGCUAUAGCAGUUGUUGAUGUGGAAACCGAUGAAAAUUGGAUGUGGUUUAUGUCAGAGUUGCGAAAGCUUCUCGGUGUAAAUACAGAAAACAUGCCUAGACUUACUAUACUGUCCGAGAGACAGAGGAGUAUGGUUGAAGCAGUGGAAACGCAUUUUCCAAGUGCUUUUCAUGGAUUUUGUCUGCGACACGUUAGUGAAAAUUUCCGGGAUACUUUCAAGAACUCUAAGCUGGUUAACAUAUUCUGGAAUGCCGUCUAUGCCCUCACAGCAGUUGAAUUUGAGAGCAAGAUUUCUGAGAUGGUGGAGAUCUCGCAGGAUGUAUUGCCAUGGUUUCAACGCUUUCCCCCUCAGCUGUGGGCAGUGGCUUACUUUGAAGGAGUCCGAUAUGGGCAUUUCACGCUCGGGAUUAGAGAAAUAUUGUACAAGUGGGCCCUCGAUUGCCACGAACUGCCAAUCCUGCAGAUGAUGGAGCACAUACGCGAUCAGUUAAAUUCUUGGUUUCAUCAGCGCCAGGAAAUGGCCAUGAGGUGGACUUCUAUACUGGCCCCUUCUGCAGAGAAACGGAUUAUGGAGGCAAUCUCAGAUUCCCGAUGCUAUCAAGUACUCCGUGCAAAUGAGGUUGAAUUUGAGAUUGUAUCUACGGAGAGGACAAACAUAGUCGAUAUUAGGAGUCGGGUCUGUUCCUGUCGAAGGUGGCAGCUCUAUGGGGUACCCUGUGCUCAUGCAGCUGCUGCACUCAUUUCCUGUGGGCACAAUGCGCAUUUAUUUGCCGAGCCAUGUUUUACAGUGGCAAGUUACCGGGAAACAUACUCUCAGAUGAUAAACCCAAUUCCAGAUAAGAGAUUAUGGAAGGAAACAGGGGAAGGAACUGAGACCGAUGGUGGAGGGGCAAAGGCUGAUAUUGCAAUUCGCCCACCCAAGAUUCGGAGGCCGCCUGGUAGGCCCAAAAAGAAGGUUCUUCGCGUCGAGAACUUCAAACGCCCAAAAAGGGUCGUUCAGUGUGGCCGCUGCCAUUUGUUAGGGCACUCACAGAAGAAGUGUACAAUGCCAGUCUGACCGAAAGUCUUAGUGCUACCCUCUUUGUUCCCUUUCUAAAACAGUCUCUUUUCCGAUGUAGGAUUGUUACUGGGUUACUUGGAUACCAAGCUCUAUUUAAUCCUUGGGCGAAGUUUGUCGGUGGAUGCAGCACCGCCAGUGCAAUUCAGAAUCCGACCUGUGAAAUUAAACUUGACAAUUUGUAGAUUUGGAAGAUGUUUCACAUUGGAUUGUAAUCAACAUAUCUUACAGGGCCUAUAGUUUGCGUUUUCGUUUCAGUUUGCUGCUAUGUAAUAGAUCGUGAUAGAUGUAAUAGCUUGGAUGUGGCUUCAGGGCCUUGAGAUCGGCAGAAACUAGCGAUCGCUGUUCGCUGUUGCUGGUGGAACUUGGCGGAGGGAUUGCAAAGAGCCACGGAGGGGGGGUGGUAGAGCGGUGGUGGGAAUUCGAAAUUUGAUGAAUAAUCAAGGAUAUAUUGGUAUUU